This 227-nucleotide ribosomal RNA is filed under the name uncultured bacterium. Its description in RNAcentral is "partial 16S ribosomal RNA". It matches the Rfam family "Bacterial small subunit ribosomal RNA", at positions 15 to 231 of the family's 1533-position model. The record is from RNAcentral.
GAUCCUGGCUCAGGAUGAACGCUAGCUACAGGCUUAACACAUGCAAGUCGAGGGGCGAGCAUGGUCUUAGCUUGCUAAGGCCGAUGGCGACCGGCGCACGGGUGAGUAACACGUAUCCAACCUGCCGUCUACUCUUGGACAGCCUUCUGAAAGGAAGAUUAAUACAAGAUGGCAUCAUGAGUCCGCAUGUUCACAUGAUUAAAAGGUAUUCCGGUAGACGAUGGGGG